RNAcentral lists this ribosomal RNA (755 nucleotides) under uncultured archaeon. RNAcentral describes it as "bacterial SSU rRNA". It matches the Rfam family "Archaeal small subunit ribosomal RNA", at positions 102 to 859 of the family's 1478-position model. The record is from RNAcentral.
AGUCAACAUGCCCAGGGGACGUGGAUAACCUCGGGAAACUGAGGAUAAACCGCGAUAGGUCAUCACUUCUGGAAUGGGUAAUGACUUAAAUCUAUAUGGCCCCUGGAUUGGACUGCGGCCGAUCAGGCUGUUGGUGAGGUAAUGGCCCACCAAACCUGUAACCGGUACGGGCUCUGAGAGGAGGAGCCCGGAGAUGGGCACUGAGACAAGGGCCCAGGCCCUAUGGGGCGCAGCAGGCGCGAAACCUCUGCAAUAGGCGAAAGCUUGACAGGGUUACUCUGAGUGAUUUCCGUUAAGGAGAUCUUUUGGCACCUCUAAAAAUGGUGCAGAAUAAGGGGUGGGCAAGUCUGGUGUCAGCCGCCGCGGUAAUACCAGCACCCCGAGUGGUCGGGACGUUUAUUGGGCCUAAAGCAUCCGUAGCCGGUUCUACAAGUCUUCCGUUAAAUCCACCUGCUUAACAGAUGGGCUGCGGAAGAUACUAUAGAGCUAGGAGGCGGGAGAGGCAAGCGGUACUCGAUGGGUAGGGGUAAAAUCCGUUGAUCCAUUGAAGACCACCAGUGGCGAAGGCGGCUUGCCAGAACGCGCUUCGACGGUGAGGGAUGAAAGCUGGGGGAGCAAACCGGAUUAGAUACCCGGGUAGUCCCAGCUGUAAACGAUGCAGACUCGGUGAUGAGUUGGCUUAUUGCUAACUCAGUGCCGCAGGGAAGCCGUUAAGUUUGCCGCCUGGGGAGUACGGUCGCAAGACUGAAACUUAA